RNAcentral lists this ribosomal RNA (534 nucleotides) under Pseudoparlatoria parlatorioides. RNAcentral's name for it is "eukaryotic LSU rRNA". Lineage: Eukaryota; Metazoa; Arthropoda; Insecta; Hemiptera; Diaspididae. The record is from RNAcentral.
AUCUGGGCGGCGAAAUUCAGGAUGGCUGGGCUGGCCUCGCGCUGGUUCGGCCGUUUGAUGUUUUCGUCGCCACUAGCAGACGUCGCGACCUGUUCGUCGUCGGUCCCUGCUCGGAGGAAUCGCUGUCGAGUUCGUUGUGGGCGCGUUUCGGCGCGUUUCACGGCGAAGACGCGGAUCUCUGGCUGACGACGGACAGUAAGCAACGGUGGCCGGCGUCGUGUCUCGCACGCGAUGUCGGUGCCGGUCAGCGACGAUUUCUUCGGGCCUCUUUCCGACCCGUCUUGAAACACGGACCAAGGAGUCUAACAUGCGCGCGAGUCGCGGGGUAUCGAGCGUACCACGGUGCGCUCGUUACGUCACGAAACCCGUAAUGUUGAAGGCGUAAUGAAAGUGAAUGGGGAAGAUGGCGUUCCGAGUACACGUUCCGUGGUCUAGUAUCGCGGCCGGACGCCCGCAUUCCCGGGGCGUCUCAACGGCUCGUCGCGAAUGCGGACGGUCGCCUUUCGGGGUGGCCGUCGGUUUGCGACGGACCGA